CAGGGAAUCUUGGGCAAUGGGCGAAAGCCUGACCCAGCGACGUCGCGUGGGGGACGAAGGCCUUAGGGUUGUAAACCCCUUUUCCGAGGGAAGAGAAAGGACGGUACCUCGGGAAUAAGCCCCGGCUAACUACGUGCCAGCAGCCGCGGUAAUACGUAGGGGGCAAGCGUUACCCGGAAUCACUGGGCGUAAAGUGCGCGUAGGCGGUUGGAUAAGUCUCUUGUGAAAGCUCCCGGCUCAACUGGGAGAGGUCAAGGGAUACUAUUCGACUAGAGGACAGCAGAGGUAAGCAGAAUUCCCGGUGUAGCGGUGGAAUGCGUAGAUAUCGGGAGGAACACCAGUGGCGAAAGCGGCUUACUGGGCUGUAUCUGACGCUGAGGCGCGAGAGCGUGGGGAGCAAACUGGAUUAGAUACCCCCGUAGUCC
This 425-nucleotide ribosomal RNA is filed under the name uncultured prokaryote. Its description in RNAcentral is "bacterial SSU rRNA". It matches the Rfam family "Bacterial small subunit ribosomal RNA", at positions 355 to 796 of the family's 1533-position model. The record is from RNAcentral.